UACGUAGGGGGCAAGCGUUGUCCGGAUUUAUUGGGCGUAAAGAGCGUGUAGGCGGCCAGGGAGGUCCGUUGUGAAAACUCGAGGCUCAACCUCGAGACGCCGAUGGAAACCCCCUGGCUAGAGUCCGGAAGAGGAGAGUGGAAUUCCUGGUGUAGCGGUGAAAUGCGCAGAUAUCAGGAAGAACACCCGUGGCUAAGGCGGCUCUCUAGUACGGUACUGACGCUGAGACGCGAAAGCCAGGGGAGCGAACGGG
This 253-nucleotide ribosomal RNA is filed under the name uncultured bacterium. RNAcentral describes it as "partial 16S ribosomal RNA". It matches the Rfam family "Bacterial small subunit ribosomal RNA", at positions 524 to 776 of the family's 1533-position model. The record is from RNAcentral.